UGCUUCCGUACCCAGCAAUCCCUGCGGCAUUCUUACCUUCUGGUUAUCCGUUUGUGACCUUUCUUCCUUGGUGCUUCUCUGACUUCGAAGAUGCUGCUUAAUAUUUCAAAGUUGUGGACUAUGUAUAAACCUUCAAAAGAAUUUCAGCCUAUCCUGAUUUCUGCAAUUUUUACUGGAUACAUUUUUUACAAAAUUGAAUUUGGAGGUGAAAAGUCAGCAGAAAGAAGAGCAGCAGAAAAAAGGAGGAGGAGAUCCAGGUCUGACCAUCAUUAAAACUUGCACUCUUCAGUAUGAAUUUGUGAACUGUCAUCUUAGCUGUAAACAAGCCGAGCUACAUCAUGGGAAACUAAUUGUUCUGUAAACAGUGUGCAUCAUUAGCACAGUGAUAAUCUGCCAUCUGUCAUGGACUAAAUAAAUGUGGUGUUCAAGAAG
Python bivittatus (Burmese python) is the source of this 432-nucleotide long non-coding RNA. RefSeq lists it as uncharacterized. NCBI's taxonomy places the organism in Eukaryota, Metazoa, Chordata, Lepidosauria, Squamata, Pythonidae. The record is from RefSeq and is a predicted model, not a curated record.